RNAcentral lists this ribosomal RNA (499 nucleotides) under uncultured Dysgonomonas sp. RNAcentral's name for it is "bacterial SSU rRNA". It matches the Rfam family "Bacterial small subunit ribosomal RNA", at positions 28 to 516 of the family's 1533-position model. Lineage: Bacteria; Pseudomonadati; Bacteroidota; Bacteroidia; Bacteroidales; Dysgonomonadaceae. The record is from RNAcentral.
GAUGAACGCUAGCGAUAGGCUUAACACAUGCAAGUCGAGGGGCAGCAAGAGUACAGUUUACUGUAUUUGUUGGCGACCGGCGCACGGGUGAGUAACGCGUAUGCAAUCUACCUUUUACAAAGGGAUAGCCCGAAGAAAUUCGGAUUAAUACCUUAUAGUAAUCUAGAAUCGCAUGAUUUUCGAUUUAAAGAUUUAUCGGUAAGAGAUGAGCAUGCGUUCCAUUAGUUAGUUGGUAAGGUAACGGCUUACCAAGGCAUCGAUGGAUAGGGGAACUGAGAGGUUUAUCCCCCACACUGGAACUGAGACACGGACCAGACUCCUACGGGAGGCAGCAGUGAGGAAUAUUGGUCAAUGGACGAGAGUCUGAACCAGCCAAGUCGCGUGAAGGAUGACUGCCCUACGGGUUGUAAACUUCUUUUAUGUGGGAAAUAAAAGACAUACGUGUAUGUUAUUGCAUGUACCAUAUGAAUAAGCAUCGGCUAACUCCGUGCCAGCAGCC